Long non-coding RNA from Oncorhynchus keta (chum salmon), 1292 nucleotides. RefSeq lists it as uncharacterized. The transcript has 3 exons. The record is from RefSeq and is a predicted model, not a curated record. NCBI's taxonomy places the organism in Eukaryota, Metazoa, Chordata, Actinopteri, Salmoniformes, Salmonidae.
UCCAACUUCUUCUGUAUCUGCCGGAAAGUAUAAUUUAAUUUAAUCACUUUACUUUAGACUUUGAUUAAGUCAUAGGACAUACUGCUACUGAUUUGGACUGAUUUGAUAGCAGGCCUAUUGCUUGCCUUAUAAAUCAGACUAUUAUACCAAUUAUUGUUAUACUAUCAAACAAAGCACUGUAAAAACGUGGAAAUCUUACUUACAAGCCAGAUUGUUGAAUAAAAAUACAUUUGAACUUACUCUACGGGGUUGUAUGUGCGUUAGGUCCCUCAGCUGGUCAGAUUUGAGACAAAAUAUGCACAGGGAAUUAUUAUUUACCCACUUUUUAGACCGCUGGUACUGCCGUUUAAAGGUCACCUGGGACAUGCGCAAAACCAUGUAAACGCCUGCAUGACAUCGACCAGCUGAAGGACCAACCAGCAGAGACCUGAGCCCUAGGACCAUGCCCCAGGACUACCUGACAUGAUGACUCCUUGCUGUCCCCAGUCCACCUGGCCAUGCUGCUGCUCCAGUUUCAACUGACCUGAGCCCUAGGACCAUGCCCCAGGACUACCUGACAUGAUGACUCCUUGCUGUCCCCGGUCCACCUGACUGUGCUGCUGCUCCAGUUUCAACUGUUCUGCCUUGUUAUUAUUCGACCAUGCUGGUCAUUUAUGAACAUUUGAACAUCUUGGCCAUGUUCUGUUAUAAUCUCCACCCGGCACAGCCAGAAGAGGACGGGCCACCCCACAUAUGCUCUCUCUAAUUCUCUCUUUCUUUCUCUCUCUCGGAGGACCUGAGCCCUAGGACCGUGCCCCAGGACUACCUGACAUGAUGACUCCUUGCUGUCCCCGGUCCACCUGACUGUGCUGCUGCUCCAGUUUCAACUGUUCUGCCUUGUUAUUAUUCGACCAUGCUGGUCAUUUAUGAACAUUUGAACAUCUUGGCCAUGUUCUGUUAUAAUCUCCACCCAGCUCAGCCAGAAGAGGACUGGCCACCCCACAUAGCCUGGUUCCUCUCUAGGUUUCUUCCUAGGUUUUGGCCUUUCUAGGGAGUUUUUCCUAGCCACUGUGCUUCUACACCUGCAUUGCUUGCUGUUUGGGGUUUUAGGCUGGGUUUCUGUACAGCACUUUGAGAUAUCAGCUGAUGUACGAAGGGCUAUAUAAAUACAUUUGAUUUGAUUUGGUUGGUGCAGGUUGGUAUUUAGGCAUGGAGACAUCGUCAUUGUCACGCUGGCUAUUACCAACGUAGGGAGAUGUCACAUUCCUGACUGAGUGAGAGCCUAUAGUGUAUUAAAACGGUCUUAUUCAGGA